RNAcentral lists this ribosomal RNA (547 nucleotides) under uncultured bacterium. Its description in RNAcentral is "bacterial SSU rRNA". It matches the Rfam family "Bacterial small subunit ribosomal RNA", at positions 355 to 896 of the family's 1533-position model. The record is from RNAcentral.
UGGGGAAUAUUGCGCAAUGGGGGGAACCCUGACGCAGCCAUGCCGCGUGAAUGAAGAAGGCCUUCGGGUUGUAAAGUUCUUUCGGUAUUGAGGAAGGUUGAUGUGUUAAUAGCACAUCAAAUUGACGUUAAAUACAGAGGAAGCACCGGCUAACUCCGUGCCAGCAGCCGCGGUAAUACGGAGGGUGCGAGCGUUAAUCGGAAUAACUGGGCGUAAAGGGCACGCAGGCGGUUAUUUAAGUGAGGUGUGAAAGCCCCGGGCUUAACCUGGGAAUUGCAUUUCAGACUGGGUAACUAGAGUACUUUAGGGAGGGGUAGAAUUCCACGUGUAGCGGUGAAAUGCGUAGAGAUGUGGAGGAAUACCGAAGGCGAAGGCAGCCCCUUGGGAAUGUACUGACGCUCAUGUGCGAAAGCGUGGGGAGCAAACAGGAUUAGAUACCCUGGUAGUCCACGCUGUAAACGCUGUCGAUUUGGGGGUUGGGGUUUAACUCUGGCGCCCGUAGCUAACGUGAUAAAUCGACCGCCUGGGGAGUACGGCCGCAAGGUUA